GGUUUGUAGCUCAAUUGGAAGAGUGUUGCGCUUCGAACGCAAAGGUCCGGGUUCAAUUCCUGGCGAACCCA
This 71-nucleotide transfer RNA is filed under the name Nostocaceae cyanobacterium CSU_2_110. RNAcentral describes it as "tRNA-Arg". It matches the Rfam family "tRNA". From Rfam's summary of the family: Transfer RNA (tRNA) molecules are approximately 80 nucleotides in length. Their secondary structure includes four short double-helical elements and three loops (D, anti-codon, and T loops). Lineage: Bacteria; Bacillati; Cyanobacteriota; Cyanophyceae; Nostocales; Nostocaceae. The record is from RNAcentral.